Long non-coding RNA from Acinonyx jubatus (cheetah), 10918 nucleotides. RefSeq lists it as uncharacterized. NCBI's taxonomy places the organism in Eukaryota, Metazoa, Chordata, Mammalia, Carnivora, Felidae. The record is from RefSeq and is a predicted model, not a curated record. The transcript has 3 exons.
CCCGCCCCCGGUCUGCGAAGCCAGACCCAGGUCCCCUGACGGUUGCCUUGCAUGGAUUCCUCUGAAAAAACAGAUAUUUCCAGUCCCAACUUCUCUCUCAAUGCCAGUCUGACAUUUCCAAUCAAUUGUGAAAUGCCCACCUGCGUGAUUUCAGAUGUGUCAAACCGGGCAUUUCUGAAAAUCAAAAACUCAUCUUCUCCCUGUAAGUAGACCUAGCCUCACACUGCCAUGCCAGAGGGCAGCCCACGCCCUGACUCCCCUGCAGACUGCAGAAAAAGGACUUGCUAAGUCCCAAGAACACAGGGCAGAGAAGACAAAGCCUGAUCCAAGGCAGAGGGUUGCAAUUAGCCCCACAAAGUGCAUUAGGAACAUCAAGGGGGGGGGGCAGUGGAGACAAGCCCUCUGGCGUCUGACAGAGGAGAAAGUUGAUAAGGGAGGUGCAUCUGGACACUUACUACUAUAACUUCUGCUAACAGUGUGGCGACUCCCUCAGGUAACACAUGUCGUGGUAAGCCUAUGGACUUGUGACCAUGUGCUGAGCACUAUUCGAAGCGCUUAACUACAUAUGAACUCACUUAAUUCCUACAACCCCACAAGGUGGGUGGGUAAACCAAGGCACGGGAAGCUGCUCACUAGCCUGUGGUCAAACAGUUAACAGUGGCAGAGUUGGGUCUGAACCCAGGUGGCCUGGCCCAACAUUUUUGUUCUUGACCAUUAGCUGUUCUGCUUCUCUGUCACCUUCUCAGAUCCUUUCAACAAGUCCUAUUGUUGUUACAGAAACUUCCUAUGUUCUGAAGUUGAAAAUAAUUUUGAAUCACGAUUCUCUCAGCUAUUAACUAUAAUGCCCUUUUUUGUGUUAUCAGGAGGUUAGAUAAAUAUGCCUCCUAUGUCUCCGUGGCACUUGCACAGAAAGCCUCUGGGAUAAUCAGGACUCUGUGCCCACAGUCACCUGCUGAACUGCUGGACAGCCCCGCAGAGCUCUGCUGGUGCCCUUCCUCUCCCUCGGGCGCCCGUGAGUUCCCUCAGCCUCUCCCAUCGCCCUCACGCUUACGUGGCCGGAUCCUCCUUGAAAAUCCAAUAUUUAGAGUCCAAGGCCUCAAGUCCCCACCCCAGCUCUGCCCUGUACAAGCUGCAUGUGCUGUGGUGGGUGAGUCAGCUCCACGGAGCCCUGGCCCCUCCUUGCCAAGUGGAGAAAUCAUGUCCACCCCCAAAGGAUUGUUUUUGGUGAUUAGUUAAGGUACGUGCACAAAAGCAUAAGUCAUAAAGUAAGAGAUGUUAAUAUGAGGGCUAACUUUAACAUAAUUUUAUAUGAAAACUUUAUUGGGUCAGCACAAGGUAAUGUACUUCAUUGCCACGAAGUAUAUUAAAUGUUAGAUAUCUUUUUUUUUAAUGUUUAUUUUUUGAGAGAGACAGAGGGUGAGCAAGGGAGGGACAGAGGGAGAGGGAGACAUAGAAUCCGAAGCAGGCUCCAGGCUCUGAGCUGUCAGCACAGAGCCCGACACGGGGUUUGAACUCACAAGCUGUGAGAUCAUGACCUGAGCUGAAGUCGGACACUUAACUGACUGAGCCACCUAGGCGUCCCACUUUUUCUUUUUUUAAUGUUUACUUAUUUUUAGGAGAGAGAGAGAGACAGAGAGAGAGAGGGAGUGGGGGAAGGGCAGAGAGAGAGGGAGAUGCAGAAUCCAAAGAAGGCUCCAGGCUCUGAGCUGUCAGCACAGAACUUGACACAGGGCUUGAACCCAUGUACCCUGAAAUCAUGACCCAAUCCGAAGUCGGACACUUAAUUGAUUGAACCAGCCAAGUAUAUUAAAUGCCAGAUUUCUUACCAGAGAUUCUUGGCUCCCACACGUGGCAAUGAAAGCAUCCCUCCAAGCGCGUCGUCAUGCACAAUCUGAGUUCUUUGCUAGCUUUGUAAGGGACAAGAACCAGCACAUGAACAGAAGAGACGUAUGGAACACCCUCCGGUCAUGGUGCGUCUAUGGGUGUGACGUUGGGGGAGGGGCUGUGGGAAAACGAGGCCACUCGCAGGAGCUGCGCAGCCGGGAGGCGUGUCUGAAUGCCCAAGCCCCGCGGUCCGGAGCCACACAGCCGGGAGGAGGUGCCCAGCAUCACACACCACCUGCGUGGUGAUGAGAAUCAUCGUCCUUCCCUUUGCACCUGCCCUUUGCCUGGCUCAGUGUGGCUUCCUGGGGACAGGUGUGUGUCCCGAAGCACUAAGAGGGUGCUGGUGUCUGGGGGCCCUUUUAGAGGAGAGUCGGAAAGGCCACCUGCAGUGAAGGCAGGUCACCAAUUCUUGAGCUGAUUUCCACCGUGUUUGAAGAUGUCUGGUGACUCGGGCUCCUCAGAGGGUGAGCCUCGUGGCGGAAGUAAGCCUUGGCUGUGGCGAAGGACCCUCAAGGGUGCCCUGCGGUGCUUUCUGGCAACUUCAGCCAGUUGGGGUCCGUCACGGCAACAGGCUGUCUUCCAUGCCUGUUGUGCGGAAUUGGUCUUCUCUGUUGUACUUUCUUGUUGCUGUGAUUCUCACAGAUGAAAAGUACGUUUUGCAGCAGAAUCUGUGCCUGGGGAAUGUGAUCAAACUUCUUGCCUAAAAGGAGCCUUUGUGUGGGUGUUCGUACUUCGCCUUGCGUAGCUGUGCGGUAUCAGUGUUAGGACCCUGCCUGUCCGUGAACACUUCUGAUCCACUGUCCACAGGCCGGUGGCUUGGCGCAAGCCUGCUGUGCGGUCACCUUUCGCUCACUGAGUCACCAUCACGGGACCUUGACCACGUACCUGCCCCUCCCGUGCACCUCGUGCAGUGCUUGGUGAUGGGGCUGCCGUUUGCUGUUCCGGACGGCCGGCCACACCUUCACACAGCGGGACGUGUCCGCCCUGUGGUGCGGAGCCGCCUCCUCCCUCCCGCGCUCCAACCUCACCACCCACAGUAGAGUUCCUUCUUUCAAGGAACGGUCGGUUAGGUUCGUCUUUCGGAGUCUGGGGCUGUUACCGCACUGGUGGCCGGCAGAGGCCUGGCUUAACCCGACGGCCCAAGGACUCUCUGCGGCAACUCACUACUCAUCCUCAUCCGGAGAACAUCUGGUUCCGUGCUACAACUUCCCAGCUAGAAGUCACUGGUUCACACGUUUCAGAUACGAAAUGUAAAAACCAAGACCCUUAUUAGGAUGCGCUACGGCACAGCGAUUGUGGCCCAUUGUGUCGGAGUCUCGAAAACGGCCACAGGGUAUGUCUGGGGAUACCCAGGAGCCCCCAUCCUGUGUGGGAGCGGCAUUCCCAAACUUUUGGGGAACGCGGCCUGAGAAGGCUCGUAAAGCUGCAGACCGUGCGUGAAUGCGGGGAGAGUCAGAAUGCUUUCUCGGCCUUUCUGAUGGAGGCCGAGGGAGCCAGAAGGGAGCACAGAUUCAAGAUGUGGCUGCCACAACCCGGUGUUAGAAACACAUUUGCCCACAGUGUCAACCCCACACGUCACCAGCACCGCUUUGUAGUGAGGUAUGCAUUGGCAUCUGCCGUCUUGGUUUUGGCCACAAUUCGCCUCCCUGUGGAAGUGAUGUGCUGUAAGAGAAUCCGAAAAACCAAAACGCGGAGCCCCACCAGACUCCAGGCAGUGGACCAGAUCUGGAUGACGAGUGGAAAUACUUUGUGAUGCCCCAGUGUGAAUAAUAGGACACGAAUCACAGAGGGUUGUGUCUUUCCACCUGCACGCAUCUGCUGCUUGCCUGAGGCAACGGGAGAUCAUGUGUUGCUUGUGACCACCCAGUGGUUCAGAUCCAGCCCCUACGACCUCUGGGGGGCUCUCCACGCUGGUGUGAGAAUGACAGCACCUGUAAGUAGGGUGUGAGCUGAUGGAAAGCAGUGUGCUGUGACCACAGCCCAGGACACACGUUACAGGUGACCAGAGGCAAUUGUUCGAAUUUCUCAGCAAGGCCCCUGGUGCAGCCAGCCGGUCCAGCUAACGUCACCCUCCUGAGACCCAGGUCUCGAGGGUUGUUCCCACCCCGUGCUCCCCAGUGGAGCCCGAAGGCCAGCCUGCGGCCGGCGCCCCUGACCCCUUGCAGUCAGGAACCUCCUUCUGAGCACCAGGGCGUCGGCUCUUCUGGCCUUGACCUGUGAGGCUCUCCUACCACCAGGCUACGCAGCCUCCUCGCGACAACAGAAUCACUGUGGAUGACGUCCACUCACCCACAACUGAAACUCGCGCUACCAGGAAGAGCCGCGGGGCUUGAUGGCUGGCCAGUAGACUGCAUAAAUACAAGACUCCACGUGGCUCGGCUUCACGCCAAAUGUCAGAAAGGGAAGGCCAGUGUGCCCCCCAACUCUUGGGCUUGGGGAGCGUGCACGGAGUGAGACCAAGAGGGCAAUGAGUGAAGGCAGUGUGGAACAGGAUGGUCUUUCCCGUCUGUGUGACUCCUGCCGAGACCCACACGGCGGAUGGCGAGUCCCCGAGGGUGGAGCGCCUGGGAGCCACCUCUCAGCCGGAUGCGGGGCUGGUGUCCCUUCCACCCUCCAGAGGAGAGCCAGACGGCCACAUUCAUUCCUCUUGCUACACUCUUGCUCAAGGUCAGCACGAGGGGCCGCGAAUGCCGCUCACUUGUGUGGGGAGGUGGGCGCCCUUGGCCGCCGGGUGGGUGGAAACUCUCCUCGGAUCGGCUGUGGCCACGGCCACGCUAGGAUCCCACCCUCGCCCACACUUUUGACGGGGCGACUUUUGAUUGCUGCAACGCUUUGUGGUAAACAUCAGGGUUGUCAUCAGGAAGCGUGCCACGUUAUGCUUAUGACUUUAAACAACCCAGUUUUCAAAUCUACUUUGGAAUCUGAGUGAACGUGAACUAGUCCACGUCUCCGAGGUGACCUGGUGCCAAACACUUCUCCGGGUUGGAGACACUUCCCAAGCUUCCCUGUGGGCCUGUUCUUUGGACUCUUGUCAGCAGCUCCCCCAACUCUGCUAAUGAGGUUUCUGAUAUCGUUGGACUGUUCCAGAACAUUCCAUCUGAGAAACGCUGGCAAGCCUCCUGGCACCGAGAAAGAUGCUGCUUGUGAGUGACUGUCAGCCUCGGCUCUGCAUCUGGAGAACCUGGUUAUCUUGGGGUCUGUCCCCCUAAAAACCCUCCAGACUCUUUUCUGCAGCCACCUUGAAUCUCAUUCCACCCAGUGCUCACUGCACAGAAAUCAGACUCUGAACUUGCCAGGCUCCUGAGUCUGGGUGGAGUCUGGAGAUGGGUCGGGUCUGGGUUUCCCAUUCCGCAGAGCCCGCCGGACUCGCCUCGCCCAGGCAGUGCUGCGCCCCGAAGCCUCUUCCAGGCCUGGCGCCCUCCCCCAGCUCCCCCAUCCUAUGGCAGGUGCUGCCCGGCAGAGUUGUGGCUGCCGGGGACCGAGCAGGGGGACACGGAGCCGGCACCCAGGCGGCCGCUCCCGGAAGCUGGCAGAAGCAUGCUGCUGCCCGUGUAGACGCCUCCUGGCAUGGAAGGGCUGGACCAGCGCCGGAGAUGAGAGUUCACGCCUCUGUGCGGGUGCUUAACCUUUCCUGCCUGUUGACUUAGGAGCAAAGCCAGUCAGGAAAUAGGCCCGAGAGCCAGAGGGCACCCAGCCCACGUCAACUCAGUACCAACCGAGCACCCAUUGUGCUCACCCCUGACAUCCUGCACUGCGCAAAUGUCCCCAGCAGCAGGGGAUUUGGGCCACAGAGUGAAAACCCACAGCGGUGUGAGUCUGUGUUCUCCACGUCUCAUACCUGCCAAUACCUAUAUUUUCAGAAUAGAUUUUUGAAGGGCAAACAACCGUGUAUCACAGAGUAAGAUGUACACCCCAACCCAAGGAUCUUAGAGCAAACACGGUGAGUGAAAUAAGGAAGUUACAGGCAGGGCACGAAGGGCGGUCUCCAGAAGAGGGGGUUCAGGCAGGGUGGGACCUGGGCGAGGGGUCCCAGACACCUCUCCGCACGGUUCCUGGCAGCGGCUGGGCUGUGACGAUGGUGCUCUCACUGGCUGGUCUCACACGGCUGUGUUUUAAUUCUGAUGUCCAGGCCACCGCCCACCAAAACUGGAGCAGAGUUGGUUAUAUAUAUAUAUAUAUAUUUUUUUUUUUGGUUUAUUUUGAGACAGAGAGAAAGGGUGCACACAAGUUGGGGAGGGGCAGAGAGAGAGAGAGAGAGAGAGAGAGUAUUCCAAGCAGGCUCCACGCUGUCAGCACAGAGCCCGACGUGGGGACUGAAACACAAACUGUGAGAUCAUGAGCUGAGCAAAAAUCAAGAUUCCGACACUCAACCGACUGAGCCCCCCAGGCGCUCCCCCCUUUUACUUUCUAGAGAAGCAGUUACCAGAUCACUCAGAAUUUGAUGUGGCUUGCAUUAUAUCCCUGCGGGACAGCAUGGGCCCAGAUCCUCCAGGCCAGGACUCCUAGGGACGUCUGGUUGACUUCUGUCUCCCUCCUGGCCCCACCCCUGCCUAGGCUCCUCCUGGUCCAGGAGCACUGGUGAGUGUCCUGCCCUGGCCUGCCCAGGCGCUGUCCGCCUGCCCUCCUUGCACUGAUUGCACACAGUACUUUGGUGGUUUGGGCGCCAUCUGCCUGGUACCCACUGGCUCCUUGAAGGACAGACAGUAGCUGAUUCACAGGUCCAACUCUGUGUUUGUGUCAAUCAACCAACCUUCACCGCCGGGAGGAGGGAGGUAACAGGGACCUGACUGUGAAGACUGGGCACCUGAGUAACUUGCUUUUUCCGACAGUCCUCAUUUAUAUCAGUGCUCACAGUUGUGACAGCUGGGCAAUCAUUGGAUGUAAAUGGGCAGGUCCUCACUAGAUUCUUUCCAAGGGCUCCCCUCUGGGUACCAUGCCUGCAAGGUUGCAGGUGCCAGCACUCAGCCUGCGGCCCCAGUGCCUGGUGAGCAUCCGGGGCAGACACUCGGGCCUCGCUGGCUGUGGUGCGCUGGGAAGCUAAGUGUGCUUGCUGGGGACGGUGGGGGGCAGGGGUCGGACACAGACGAGGUCCUAGUAGCUCUGCUAUGUGUCAGGGGCGGGGCUGUGGGGACGGAGGGCCAUCUGCCAUCUUGUAACCCUGCGACCACCCCGCACACCUGACUGUAGGUCACUCAGACCCCUGUUCCUUCUCUCCCCUUGCCCACCUGGGACUGUCAAAGCACCUGCGCCCAUGUGCACCGUGCACAUGACAUUGGAGUUUGUUCUUGGUCUGUCUGUGCAUCUGUUCAUCUGAGGUUCUGACUCCGAGGCCAGGAGGCCAGGAGGCCAGGAGCUGGGGCUGGAACGAGACACCGCUCCCCACCCCACCCCUCCCCCUCGGCAGCUGCAGAGCCUUGGUGAAUUGUUUGCUUCACUGAACCUCAAUGUUCUCUUCGAGAAACUGGAGAUAAUGAAAGCACGUACUGAGGCAGGAAGAAAACUGUCCCCAAAGAGGUCCAUGUCCUAGUCCUCAGAGCCCGUGAGUGCUACCUUCUGUCACGGAAAGGGAUAUGAUUAUGGGCAUGGAGCCUUGAGAUGGGGAGAGUGCUCUCGAUCAUCUGGUCCCCUUCUAAGUAUGCCCGUUCUUAAAAGUGGGGACUCUUUCCCCACUGUGUCACAGAGACAUGUGGCCACAGAGGCAGGGUCUGAGAAAUGACACGCCGCUAUCUUAGAAGAUGGAGGAAGGGACGUGAGCCAAGGAAUGUGGAAGCUUCUAGAAGCUAGAGAAGUCAAGGAACAAAUCCCCCAAGUCAGCUUAUAAAUCCGGGGCAAUGUCCGUGCUUUGUAUUUUAGUAUACCUCACAGUAGCUAGAAUGGUGCUGGGGCCAUAAAAUAAUAAAAUUUAGAGAUUUAGAACUGGAAAGGAUCUCUCCGAUGAUUUUGUUCUACCACGAUAAGCAAUGUGUUGAUCACAGAUGGAUGGCUGGUGGAGAGAUAGAUGGGUAAGUAGAUGGGUGCUUGCGUAGAUAGAUGGAUGGGUGCGUGGGUGGAUGAGUGGAUGGACGAAAUUGCUAGCAGCCUAAAGUGAGGUUUUGAGAUAUUUGUGGGAUUUCUAAAUAAUUUCAAUCCUUUCAUCAGAGUUCAACCUGUCUCUUUUCCUCUCUUUGUAAGCCAUACAUAAUAGAAAAGUUGACUGAGUUAACUCUAACCUGAGUUAAAUAUUGAUCCUUGCGAACUCCGUGUUGAAUAAGACCAAAACAUCUAUGAUCAUUUACAUGUAACACUCAGAUAUCAUGUAUCCUUCAGGUUCAUUAAAUGCAUCAGAAUGCACUAGAUCCCAAAAGGGGAGGUGAAGAGUGAGGAGGUUUCCAGGUUUCUGGAGACGCACAGAUUCACCUAUAAUUCAUCUGUCACAUGGAACAUUGGCGACAGAAGGGAGAGGUUGAGAAACUUUGGGUAGUUCAGGAUUUAUUCAUAGGCUUGGCACACUAGAAGACAUGAUGAUCAAAAAUAUGGCCCUUAAAAUACAAAUGCCAUGGGUUCUCAAAAUAGUGGAAAUGGAAUCAUUAAUAUUGAAGCACAAGAGAACCAAACAAACCGAUUCUCCUAAUUUCUGUUACUUCUGUGAGUUGUUACUACUCCUCUGGCCUUGCCCCCAUUCCUAAAUUGGAUCUUUCAUGACCUCAGAUCAAGUCUGUCACUGUGAACACUACUGUCUUCAGAAAGCAGUCCAGGCUGCGGACCUCCCACAAGGCAGUCACCAAGGACAGGGGCCUCCUUGUAGCCCUGCUACACACUUGUCGCUGGCACAGCCCUCUCCCAACAGAUGUUGGUCGAGUUCAUGAACUAAUCAGUUACAUAUUGUUAUUUAGCCAGUUUCCAUCUUUGCAUUGGGACAGACCUCAAGCCCAGAGAUGGUAUGAGACUUGACACAGCUAGUUAAUGGCAAACCACAGCUGGAAUCCAUGUCUGUCCAUAACUAUGCCAACACUUUUCCACCUUAAGAUACUCCAGAGAGGGGGCUCGUCCUCUCCUGUGGAAUGAGGCCAGGGCCCCGUGGGGUCUCAUUGGACCAUAAGGCUUCCUGUUCCCAAGUAUUGGAGGAGUCUCUGGUUUAUUAAAAUCAUCGGAGUCAUUCAAGUUCCUGUUCCAUUUAUAGCCCAGCCAUCAGAUGAGCUGUGGUGGCCCUAUUUCUGUCCCAGGCUCUUGGUGUCAGGGCUGGCUCCUUUGGGGUCAUGGAACAGGAUUUCCAUUCCGGACUUGCACCACAUAGCCCCAAGGAUGGAUGGCAGGUGGCUCAGAGCUAAAGUUUCCAACUGAGACGCAUCCAUUCAACACGUGUUUAUUUCAUACUAACAUGUUGGGCACUGCUGUAGGCUCUGGGGCACAGAAGUGAGCAAAUCAGAAGCCCACACAAUGGAACACUACACAACCAUGAAAAAGAAUAAAAUCUUGCCAUUAGAAACAACAUGGAUAGACCUAGAGGUUGUUAGGCUAAGUGAAGUAAGUCAGACAGAGAAGGAAAAAUACCCUAUGAUUCCACUUAUAUCUGGAAUCUAAAAAACAAAACAAGACAAAAAACAGAAAGAAGCUCAUAAAUACAGAGAACAAAUGGGGUCUGCCAGAGAAGAGAGGGUUAGGAAAUAGAUGAACUAGGUGAAGGAGAUUAAGAGGUGCGAACGUCCACUUAUAAGUAAGUCAGGGGAUGAAAAGUACAUAGCAUAGGGAAUAUCGUAGGGAAAAAAAUCCUGCAACUUUAAUGAAUUCAUUUAUCAGUGCUAAUAGUUUUUUGGUGGAAUCUUUAGGGUUUUCAAUAUGGAGUAUCGUGUCAUCUGCAAAGAGUGAAAGUUUUGCUCCUUCCUUGCUGAUGUGAAUGCCUUAAUUUCUCCAUCUUGUCUGACUGCCGUGGCUGGGAUUUCCACUACCACAUUGAAUAAAAGUGGUGAAAGUGGACAUCCCUGUCUCGUUCCUGAUCUCAGCAGAAAAGCUCUCAGCUUUUCACCACUGAGGAUGAUGUUAGCUGUGGGGUUGUCAUACAUGGCCUUUAUUAUAUUCCGUCUAUACUUUGUUGAGAGUAUUUAUUGUGAAUGGGUGUUGACUUUAAAGUUUUCGCUCUGUACCCAUGGAGUACGAUUUUAGUUGCAGAUUGUUCACAUAUGGGUCACGUUAAGAAAGUUUCCUUCUAUUCCCAGUUUAUUGAGUGUUUCCAUCAUGAAAGGGCAUUGAAUUUUCUUAAAUUCUUUUUCUGCAUCCAUUAAGAUGAUUAUAUGUUUUUUUCACCUGCAUUCUAUUAAUGUAUCAUAUUCCACUGAUUAAUCUUCAUACGUUGAACCAUUCUUGCAAUCCAGGAAUAAAUGCUUCUUGGAAAUGGUGUGUGAUCUUUCUAAUAUGGGGCUGAAUUCAGUGUGCUAGUAUUUUGUUGAGGAGUUUUGCAUCAAUAUUCAUAAGGGAUGGUGGUCUAUGGCUUUCUUGCAAUGUCUAUGUCUGGUUUGGGUAUCAUGGUAAUUUGAUAACUUAAUUUUUUUAAAUCCUUGCCUUUUAAAAUAAAUUCCAAGGAUGGGGUGAAUAUAACUUUCUACAUAAUUAAAUUUGGUAUAUUCUAGAACAGGUGCAGUUACCUGCCUAAAUGUACUUACUAAAAAAUAUUUCCCAUUCCUAGUUUUGUAACACCUGAGAAUAUCACUUCAAUUAUUUCGAGGGGUUUUAACAUAUCUUUCAAAAGUUUUCAAAACAAAGUUAUACUUAAUUCAGCUUAAUUAAAGAAGUCCUUUUUGGGGUGUAAUAUUGCAAAAAUUAUACGAUAAAGAUAGAUAUCAAAUUUCAAAUUUCCUUUUGAGAAAAUUGCUUCCCCUAAAACAUUUCCUUUCAUGGUUUUAAAGACACGUGUCAUACAUUUUGACACUUAAACCCAAAUCUGAAUAGUUUACUUCAACCAUUAUGCAGAACUAUUCCUUUUCUAAAAGGGUAAAUUGCUUCUAUUAUACAGUUGCAAAAUACCUAGGAAAAAAGUAAUUUGCACCUCCAUUCCUCUCUA